Molecule: unclassified non-coding RNA, 299 nt
Organism: Aotus nancymaae (Ma's night monkey)
Lineage: Eukaryota; Metazoa; Chordata; Mammalia; Primates; Aotidae
Rfam family: Metazoan signal recognition particle RNA
About the family: The signal recognition particle (SRP) is a universally conserved ribonucleoprotein. It is involved in the co-translational targeting of proteins to membranes.
Source: Ensembl
GCCGCGCACGGUGGCCCAUGCCUGUAGUCCCAGCUACUCAGGAGGCUAAGGUGGGAGAAUCGCUCGAGCCCAGGAGUUCUGGGCUGUAGUGCGCUAUGCCAAUGAAGUGUCUGCACUAAGUUCAGCAUCAAUAUGGUGGCCUCCCAGGAGCAGGGGACCACCAGGUUGCCUAAGGAGGGAUGAACCAGCCCAGGUUGGAAACGGAGUAGGUCAAAACUCCCAUGCUCAUCAGUAGUGGGAUCAUGCCUGUGAAUAGCCACUGCACUUCAGCCUGGGCAACAUAGCAAGAUCCUGUCUCU